This is a long non-coding RNA of Oncorhynchus tshawytscha (Chinook salmon), 1017 nucleotides long. The record is from Ensembl. NCBI's taxonomy places the organism in Eukaryota, Metazoa, Chordata, Actinopteri, Salmoniformes, Salmonidae.
UGGGUUACUGUAUUCCUACAUGGCUGGGUUACUGUAUUCCAACAUGGCUGGGUUACUGUAUUCUAACACGGAUGGGUUACUGUAUUCUAACACGGAUGGGUUACUGUAUUCUAACACGGAUGGGUUACUGUAUUCUAACACGGCUGGGUUACUGUAUUCCUACAUGGCUGGGUUACUGUAUUCUAACAUGGCUGGGUUCCUGUAUUCUAAUAUGGCUGGGUUACUGUAUUCUAACAUGGCUGGGUUACUGUAUUCUAACAUGGCUGGGUUACUGUAUUCCAACAUGGCUGGGUUACUGUAUUCUAACAUGGCUGGGUUACUGUAUUCCAACAUGGCUGGGUUACUGUAUUCUAACAUGGCUGGGUUACUGUAUUCCUACAUGGCUGGGUUACUGUAUUCCUACAUGGCUGGGUUACUGUAUUCCUACAUGGCUGGGUUACUGUAUUCCUACAUGGCUGGGUUACUGUUUUCUAAUAUGGCUGGGUUACUGUAUUCCUACAUGGCUGGGUUACUGUAUUCCAACAUGGCUGGGUUACUGUAUUCCAACAUGGCUGGGUUACUGUAUUCCAACAUGGCUGGGUUACUGUAUUCCACUGUCUCCUGUCCUGUCAGUCUAUACUAUCAGUAUUGCAGAGAAGAUGACAGUGUUGAUGAGAAACAGGGAGGAAGAGAGAGAGAAAUAGAAUGGGGAGGAAGGGAUAUUGGUUUCCCCUAUGACCCCCAACCUAGGGUGCUGUUUUCAAUGUGCAUGCUAGCCGUGUGCGUGCGCACGUUUGUAAGUUUGUGGAAGACCAGCAUCCCUGUGUGAUUAUGGUUUGGUCAGGUACAUUUACAUUUGUAUUCAACCUUUAUUUAACAAGGCAAGUCAGUUAAGAACAAAUUAUUAUUUACAAUGACGGCCUAGGAACAGUGGGUUAACUGGUCUAGGAACAGUGGGUUAACUGGUCUAGGAACAGUGGGUUAACUGGUCUAGGAACAGUGGGUUAACUGGUCUAGGAACAGUGGGUUAACUGGUCU